GUGAGGCCUUCUGACUGGCGCCGAUACUCUGGCAACAGAGCGCCGGAUGCCGGGAAGUUGGUCAAACUUGAUCAUUUAGAGGAAGUAAAAGUCGUAACAAGGUUUCCGUAGGUGAACCUGCGGAAGGAUCAUUACCGAUAACAAUUCCAAUCUUAAAAUGGUUUUUUAACCUCUGUGAACCGUACACAAUCUUUAGGGGUCGGUGGCGCUUUUACCGUUAAAUGGUCGUCGGUCCGUGCAUUCGGCUUUCGGCCAGCCCCGCCAUUUUCGUUUGUUGACACACUUCAAUGUAUUGCUCUGAAACAUAUCUGCCCUUUCUUUUUUUUUUUGAUUCCAAAAAACAAAAAAGACGGGCGAGUGACAAAAAAACAUCAGGAGACAACUUUUAACGGUGGAUCUCUAGGCUCACGUAUCGAUGAAGAACGCAGCCAGCUGCGAUAAGUAGUGUGAAUUGCAGAAUUCAGUGAAUCAUUGAAUCUUUGAACGCAAAUGGCGCUCUUGGGUUCUCCCAGGAGCAUGUCUGUCUGAGUGUCGGAUAUCAUCUAACGCACUCGUUUAGUGUGCGGAAUUGAGGCGUCACGGCGUUCUCUCUCGCCGUGUCCCUUGAAGGAAAGCGUGUUAGACUCGCAUCGUGCGCGGUUUCAAAAAAACCUGCACUCCAUGCGAAGGCUAAAGACAUUAUUUUGUCCUUCGUCUGGGUGCCGGUCCGCCAGCGCGAGUCGGCCGAAA
Molecule: unclassified non-coding RNA, 729 nt
Filed under: Turbinaria sp. 2 RA-2014
Lineage: Eukaryota; Metazoa; Cnidaria; Anthozoa; Scleractinia; Dendrophylliidae
Description: sequence contains ITS1, 5.8S rRNA gene and ITS2
Rfam family: 5.8S ribosomal RNA (bases 381-534)
Source: RNAcentral